UAUUCAUCCCAUGCGGGAAGGAUGAGAAGCUUCGACUAAGGUUCGAUUCGAGCGAAGCGAGAAAGCGUUGCCGCAGGCAACGACCCGAAGGGCGAGGCGCAACGCGCCGAGUAAUCCUUCCCCCACAACCA
Molecule: small RNA, 131 nt
Filed under: Klebsiella pasteurii
Lineage: Bacteria; Pseudomonadati; Pseudomonadota; Gammaproteobacteria; Enterobacterales; Enterobacteriaceae
Description: RtT sRNA
Rfam family: RtT RNA
About the family: This family represents a bacterial cis-regulatory element known as RtT RNA. The exact function of RtT is unknown although it is thought that it may be involved in changing the cellular response in relation to amino acid starvation.
Source: RNAcentral